Molecule: long non-coding RNA, 348 nt
Filed under: Heterocephalus glaber (naked mole-rat)
Lineage: Eukaryota; Metazoa; Chordata; Mammalia; Rodentia; Bathyergidae
Description: lncRNA (ENSHGLG00000049481.1)
Source: RNAcentral
CCCGGUGCGGGCGGGGGGAAGCCGAGCAGGGGAACCGCACAUACAGGGAGGGUGAGAAACCCGGGAUGCCGCUGAAGCCACUGCUCCAGGAUCUGACCCACAGGAAGUGUGCUUUGCCGAUCCGCUAGGCGGCGCACGAGACAAUCAAGUUGACACUUUCCAGGUGUACAAUAUAAUGACAUUCAUCAUUGGAAAUUUGUAGUUUUACAUAAUCUCUCUUGGUUCUUAUUUUUCACCCUUGCCCAGCCCUCCCUUCAACCCCUCCAUUCCUCCCUAUUUACAAAGACUUUGUUUCCAUUUUUCCAUUUUCUCCUAUUAAUUCCAUUCCCUUUUCCCUUCCCCUACCCC